UACGUAGGUCCCCGAGCGCUGCGCGAAUUCACUGGGCGUAAAGGGCGUGUAGGCGGCCUGGGGCGUCCCAUGUGAAAGGCCACGGCUCAACCGUGGAGGAGCGUGGGAUACGCUCAGGCUAGACGGUGGGAGAGGGUGGUGGAAUUCCCGGAGUAGCGGUGAAAUGCGCAGAUACCGGGAGGAACGCCGAUGGCGAAGGCAGCCACCUGGCUCACUUGUGACGCUGAGGCGCGAAAGCGUGGGGAGCAAACCGGAUUAGAAACCCCUGUAGU
Molecule: ribosomal RNA, 272 nt
Filed under: uncultured bacterium
Lineage: Bacteria
Description: partial 16S ribosomal RNA
Rfam family: Bacterial small subunit ribosomal RNA
Source: RNAcentral